RNAcentral lists this ribosomal RNA (460 nucleotides) under uncultured bacterium. RNAcentral describes it as "partial 16S ribosomal RNA". It matches the Rfam family "Bacterial small subunit ribosomal RNA", at positions 338 to 795 of the family's 1533-position model. The record is from RNAcentral.
CCUACGGGUGGCUGCAGUGAGGAAUAUUGGUCAAUGGGCGAGAGCCUGAACCAGCCAAGUCGCGUGAGGGAAGACGGUCCUACGGAUUGUAAACCUCUUUUGUCAGGGAGCAAGGAGCGCCACGCGUGGUUCGACGAUAGUACCUGAAGAAAAAGCAUCGGCUAACUCCGUGCCAACAGCCGCGGUAAUACGGAGGAUGCGCGCGGUAUUCGGAUUUAUUGGGUUUAAAGGGUGCGCAGGCGGAAGCGGCAAGUCCUCGGUAAAAUUGCGGGGCUCAACCUCGGCGAGCCGUUGAAACUGCUCGUCUAGAGUGGGCGAGAAGUAUGCGGAAUGCGUGGUGUAGCGGUGAAAUGCAUAGAUAUCACGCAGAACUCCGAUUGCGAAGGCAGCAUACCGGCGCCCAACUGACGCUCAUGCACGAAAGCGUGGGUAUCGAACAGGAUUAGAUACCCGUGUAGGC